GACGAACGCUGGCGGCGUGCUUAACACAUGCAAGUCGAACGAGGUAGCAAUACCUAGUGGCGGACGGGUGAGUAACGCGUAGGUAAUCUGCCCAUCGGUGGGGGACACCCAGUCGAAAGAUUGGUUAAUACCGCAUACGCUAGUCUCUUGUAAUAGGGGCUAGGAAAGAUUCAUUGCCGAUGGAUGAGCCUGCGUCUGAUUAGCUAGUUGGUGGGGUAACGGCCCACCAAGGCGACGAUCAGUAGCUGGUCUGAGAGGACGAUCAGCCACACUGGAACUGAGACACAGUCCAGACUCCUACGGGAGGCAGCAGUGGGGAAUUUUCCGCAAUGGGCGAAAGCCUGACGGAGCAACGCCGCGUGGAGGAUGAAGUCUUUCGGGAUGUAAACUCCUUUCAGUCGGGACGAGACGAAGACGGUACCGACAGAAGAAGCAUCGGCUAACUACGUGCCAGCAGCCGCGGUAAGACGUAGGAUGCAAGCGUUGUCCGGAAUUAUUGGGCGUAAAGAGAACGUAGGCGGUUCCUUAAGUUUGGGGUUAAAGACCGAGGCUCAACCUCGGGAGUGCCCUGAAUACUGGGGGACUGGAGGACGGCAGAGGAAAGUGGAAUUCCCAGUGUAGCGGUGAAAUGCGUAGAUAUUGGGAGGAACACCAGUGGCGAAAGCGACUUUCUGGGCCGUUCCUGACGCUGAGGUUCGAAAGCGUGGGGAGCAAACAGGAUUAGAUACCCUGGUAGUCCACGCCGUAAACGAUGGAUACUAGGUGUCAGAGGUAUCAACCCCUCUGGUGCCGUAGCUAACGCGUUAAGUAUCC
RNAcentral lists this ribosomal RNA (813 nucleotides) under uncultured bacterium. Its description in RNAcentral is "bacterial SSU rRNA". It matches the Rfam family "Bacterial small subunit ribosomal RNA", at positions 28 to 869 of the family's 1533-position model. The record is from RNAcentral.